CCCAUACUAGAGGUUUUCUGACUAACUAAGUUACAAAGUCAGAAGAUCACACUAGGUCAUACUUCUUGCCUUCUCAACACCUAGUCGUCAUCCAUAUCCGACUCACUGGUGGUAACAUCCUCAUCUGGAGUGGGAGUUCCUGGUUCUUCUGCUUCAUCCUCAGAAGUAUCACUAUCCACUUGGAUGACAACUGGUCCUUCCUCUGCUGCUUCAGGAGCCUCGG
Molecule: long non-coding RNA, 223 nt
Filed under: Sorghum bicolor (sorghum)
Lineage: Eukaryota; Viridiplantae; Streptophyta; Magnoliopsida; Poales; Poaceae
Description: long non-coding RNA (SBIC_LNC005617)
Source: RNAcentral